RNAcentral lists this ribosomal RNA (592 nucleotides) under Scytinostroma crispulum. RNAcentral's name for it is "LSU rRNA". It matches the Rfam family "Eukaryotic large subunit ribosomal RNA", at positions 32 to 649 of the family's 3401-position model. Lineage: Eukaryota; Fungi; Basidiomycota; Agaricomycetes; Russulales; Lachnocladiaceae. The record is from RNAcentral.
ACUUAAGCAUAUCAAUAAGCGGAGGAAAAGAAACUAACAAGGAUUCCCCUAGUAACUGCGAGUGAAGCGGGAAGAGCUCAAAUUUAAAAUCUGGCGGCUUUGUCGUCCGAGUUGUAAUUUAGAGAAGCGUUUUCCGCGUCGGACCGUGUACAAGUCUCCUGGAACGGAGCGUCACAGAGGGUGAGAAUCCCGUCUUUGACACGGACUCCCGGUGCUAUGUGAUACGCUCUCGAAGAGUCGAGUUGUUUGGGAAUGCAGCUCAAAAUGGGUGGUGAACUCCAUCUAAAGCUAAAUAUUGGCGAGAGACCGAUAGCGAACAAGUACCGUGAGGGAAAGAUGAAAAGCACUUUGGAAAGAGAGUGAAACAGUACGUGAAAUUGCUGAAAGGGAAACGCUUGAAGUCAGUCGCGUCCCGCGGAACUCAGCCCCUGUGGUGUACUUUCCGUGGGACGGGCCAGCAUCACUUUUGGUCGUCGGAGAAGGGCGGGGGAAAUGUGGCACCUUCGGGUGUGUUAUAGUCCCUUGUCGUAUACGGCGGCCGGGAGUGAGGACCGCCUUUUGCAGGAUGCUGGCGUAAUGGCUUUAAACGACC